This 253-nucleotide ribosomal RNA is filed under the name uncultured bacterium. RNAcentral's name for it is "partial 16S ribosomal RNA". It matches the Rfam family "Bacterial small subunit ribosomal RNA", at positions 524 to 776 of the family's 1533-position model. The record is from RNAcentral.
UACGAAGGGGGCAAGCGUUGUUCGGAAUUACUGGGCGUAAAGGGCGCGUAGGCGGCUUAUCAAGUCAGGCGUGAAAUUCCCGGGCUCAACCUGGGGGCUGCGCUUGAUACUGAUGAGCUUGAAUGCGGGAGAGGAUAGUGGAAUUCCCAGUGUAGAGGUGAAAUUCGUAGAUAUUGGGAAGAACACCGGUGGCGAAGGCGACUACCUGGCCCAUUCUUGACGCUGAGGCGCGAAAGCUAGGGGAGCGAACGGG